AUCACGCUUUCUAAAUUAGAACGGGAAACAGGGAACCAUUCAGAAAAUACAGAAGAAAAAGAGCCAAACCGCCAUAAAAAGCCCACACAGACGGUGGCGUUGGUUGAAUUAGAAAGCUGCCACCCAGGAAACCAGGGAAGGGACUGCUUUAGGAGGUGACUGCUCAGAACAUAUCUGCCUUGAUUGAUAGGAAACCCUUCUUACUUUACAUUAUAAGAGAUCUUUUUGCCGCCCAUUAUUUAGGAUUAAAAAUUACCUCCUUAGGAGGGUCUCUUAUAAAAAACGAAGGCAGGCAAGAAACAGAGGACACUCAAUUCAUCAGCCAAAAC
This 329-nucleotide long non-coding RNA is filed under the name Prunus persica (peach). RNAcentral describes it as "long non-coding RNA (PPER_LNC004391)". The record is from RNAcentral. Lineage: Eukaryota; Viridiplantae; Streptophyta; Magnoliopsida; Rosales; Rosaceae.